GACGAACGCUGGCGGCGUGCUUAACACAUGCAAGUCGAGCGGUAAGGCCCUUUCGGGGGUACACGAGCGGCGAACGGGUGAGUAACACGUGGGUGACCUGCCCUCAGCUCUGGGAUAAGCCUGGGAAACCGGGUCUAAUACUGGAUAUGACUCCAUGACGCAUGUUGUGGGGUGGAAAGCCUUGUGCGGCUGAGGAUGGGCCCGCGGCCUAUCAGCUUGUUGGUGGGGUGANGGCCU
RNAcentral lists this ribosomal RNA (237 nucleotides) under uncultured bacterium. Its description in RNAcentral is "partial 16S ribosomal RNA". It matches the Rfam family "Bacterial small subunit ribosomal RNA", at positions 28 to 266 of the family's 1533-position model. The record is from RNAcentral.